Molecule: ribosomal RNA, 406 nt
Filed under: uncultured bacterium
Lineage: Bacteria
Description: partial 16S ribosomal RNA
Rfam family: Bacterial small subunit ribosomal RNA
Source: RNAcentral
AUUGAACGCUGGCGGCAGGCCUAACACAUGCAAGUCGAACGAGUGGCGGACGGGUGAGUAAUGUCUGGGAAACUGCCUGAUGGAGGGGGAUAACCACUGGAAACGGUAGCUAAUACCGCAUACCAUCGGAUGUGCCCAGAUAGGAUGAGCUAGUAGGGGGGGUAACGGCUUACCGAGGCGACGAUCCCUAGCUGGUCUGAGAGGAUGACCAUCCAAACGGGAACUUAGACACGGUCCAGACUCCUACGGGGGGCAGCAGUGGGGAAUAUUGCACAUGGGGCGCAAGCCUGAUGCAGCCAUGCCGCGUGUAUGAAUAAGGCCUUCGGGUUGUAAAGUCCUUUCAGCGGGGAGGCGUUACCCGCAGAAGAAGCACCGGCUAACUCCGUGCCAGCAGCCGCGGUAAUUC